RNAcentral lists this long non-coding RNA (227 nucleotides) under Erythranthe guttata (spotted monkey flower). Its description in RNAcentral is "long non-coding RNA (EGUT_LNC003301)". Lineage: Eukaryota; Viridiplantae; Streptophyta; Magnoliopsida; Lamiales; Phrymaceae. The record is from RNAcentral.
UUUCUCCAUUUUGAAUCUGUGCAAUUUGCUUAUAAUUUCGGCAAAGUAGCUACACAAGACAAGAGGGAAGAUCAAAUUCAUAUUUUUUUCGUAAAAUAAAAUAUGGCGCAAAUGAUAAAAUGCGUGUCAUAUGUAUAUAAAUUUUACUAACCAAAAUUGUUCAACAAAAUGACUCUUGUAGAAAGGAUAAAUCAACCUUAUGAGAAGAACCGAUUUCUCACAGUCAU